This 465-nucleotide ribosomal RNA is filed under the name uncultured Neisseriaceae bacterium. Its description in RNAcentral is "bacterial SSU rRNA". It matches the Rfam family "Bacterial small subunit ribosomal RNA", at positions 338 to 795 of the family's 1533-position model. Lineage: Bacteria; Pseudomonadati; Pseudomonadota; Betaproteobacteria; Neisseriales; Neisseriaceae. The record is from RNAcentral.
CCUACGGGAGGCAGCAGUGGGGAAUUUUGGACAAUGGGCGCAAGCCUGAUCCAGCCAUGCCGCGUGUCUGAAGAAGGCCUUCGGGUUUUAAAGGACUUUUGUUAGGGAAGAAAAAGGAGCGGUUAAUACCCGUGUCUGCUGACGGUACCUAAAGAAUAAGCACCGGCUAACUACGUGCCAGCAGCCGCGGUAAUACGUAGGGUGCGAGCGUUAAUCGGAAUUACUGGGCGUAAAGCGAGCGCAGACGGUUACUUAAGCAGGAUGUGAAAACCCCGGGCUUAACCUGGGAUCUGCGUUUUGAACUGGGUGGCUAGAGUAUGUCCGAGGUGGGCAGAAUUCCAGGUGUAGCAGUGAAAUGCGUAGAGAUGUGGAGGAAUACCGAUUGCGAAGGCAGCCCCCUGGGAUAAUACUGACGUUCAUGCUCGAAAGCGUGGGUAGCAAACAGGAUUAGAUACCCUGGUAGUC